GCGUGAAUGAUGAAGGUCUUAGGAUUGUAAAAUUCUUUCACCGGGGACGAUAAUGACGGUACCCGGAGAAGAAGCCCCGGCUAACUUCGUGCCAGCAGCCGCGGUAAUACGAAGGGGGCUAGCGUUGCUCGGAAUUACUGGGCGUAAAGGGAGCGUAGGCGGACUGUUUAGUCAGAGGUGAAAGCCCAGGGCUCAACCUUGGAAUUGCCUUUGAUACUGGCAGUCUUGAGUACGGAAGAGGUAUGUGGAACUCCGAGUGUAGAGGUGAAAUUCGUAGAUAUUCGGAAGAACACCAGUGGCGAAGGCGACAUACUGGUCCGUUACUGACGCUGAGGCUCGAAAGCGUGGGGAGCAAACAGGAUUAGAUACCCUGGUAGUCCACGCCGUAAACGAUGAGUGCUAGUUGUCGGCAUGCAUGCAUGUCGGUGACGCAGCUAACGCAUUAAGCACUCCGCCUGGGG
RNAcentral lists this ribosomal RNA (461 nucleotides) under Caulobacter sp. RNAcentral describes it as "bacterial SSU rRNA". It matches the Rfam family "Bacterial small subunit ribosomal RNA", at positions 399 to 878 of the family's 1533-position model. Lineage: Bacteria; Pseudomonadati; Pseudomonadota; Alphaproteobacteria; Caulobacterales; Caulobacteraceae. The record is from RNAcentral.